GCAGGCAAUUCCGGGUCUGCAGCACCGUCGCCACCACCAAGCAUCUGUGUACGGGCCAACCAUGAUGCAUCAUCUCCUGGACCCUGCCUCACGUCUAGUG
Molecule: long non-coding RNA, 100 nt
Organism: Ornithodoros turicata
Lineage: Eukaryota; Metazoa; Arthropoda; Arachnida; Ixodida; Argasidae
Exons: 3
Source: RefSeq, a predicted model, not a curated record